GACAAUAUUACAACAAAUUUAGUUGAAGGUUCUAAUUGGUAGUUGUUGCAGGUCACGGUUGCCUCUGAAGGGCCCUAACAGGCUCAAACACAGCAAACA
This 99-nucleotide small RNA is filed under the name Brugia malayi. Its description in RNAcentral is "RNA transcript Bm16752". The record is from RNAcentral. Lineage: Eukaryota; Metazoa; Nematoda; Chromadorea; Rhabditida; Onchocercidae.